This 315-nucleotide ribosomal RNA is filed under the name uncultured bacterium. RNAcentral's name for it is "partial 16S ribosomal RNA". It matches the Rfam family "Bacterial small subunit ribosomal RNA", at positions 28 to 334 of the family's 1533-position model. The record is from RNAcentral.
GAUAAACGCUGGCGGCGCACAUAAGACAUGCAAGUCGAACGAACUUAACUAUUUGUUUACAAAUAGAGCGGUUAGUGGCGGACUGGUGAGUAAUACGUAAGUAACCUGCCUAUUAGAGGGGAACAACAGUUAGAAAUGACUGCUAAUACCGCAUAUGCCAUAAAAAUCACAUGAUUUUAGUGGGAAAGGAGCAAUCCGCUAAUAGAUGGACUUACGCCUGAUUAGAUAGUUGGUGGGGUAAAGGCCUACCAAGUCAACGAUCAGUAGCCGAACUGAGAGGUUGAACGGCCACAUUGGGACUGAGAUACGGCCCAG